This 224-nucleotide unclassified non-coding RNA is filed under the name uncultured fungus. Its description in RNAcentral is "sequence contains ITS1". The record is from RNAcentral. Lineage: Eukaryota; Fungi.
GUUAUGUGUUUAGGCAGACGAAGUCCGCGGUCAUUCUAUGAUAUACAGAGUUUGUAAAGGGGACGGCCUCGCCGAUUAGAGCUCGGCCCUCCCAAAGGUUCACAGGGGUUUGGUUUGGAAGGCACGCCCGAGAGCCCGCAGCACGGCGUCUCCGCCGGUGCAGGGCCGACCCGAGCGGCCGAACGAACACGUUAAUGAUCCUUCCGCAGGUUCACCUACGGAAA